RNAcentral lists this ribosomal RNA (492 nucleotides) under uncultured bacterium. RNAcentral describes it as "partial 16S ribosomal RNA". It matches the Rfam family "Bacterial small subunit ribosomal RNA", at positions 29 to 507 of the family's 1533-position model. The record is from RNAcentral.
AUUGAACGCUGGCGGCAUGCUUUACACAUGCAAGUCGAACGGUAACAGGCCUUCGGGUGCUGACGAGUGGCGAACGGGUGAGUAAUGCAUCGGAACGUACCCAGAGGUGGGGGAUAACGCAGCGAAAGCUGUGCUAAUACCGCAUGUGAUCUGAGGAUGAAAGCGGGGGACCGAGCAGCAAUGUUUGGCCUCGCGCCUUUGGGGCGGCCGAUGUCGGAUUAGCUAGUUGGUGGGGUAAAGGCCUACCAAGGCGACGAUCCGUAGCUGGUCUGAGAGGACGACCAGCCACACUGGAACUGAGACACGGCCCAGACUCCUACGGGAGGCAGCAGUGGGGAAUUUUGGACAAUGGGCGCAAGCCUGAUCCAGCAAUGCCGCGUGCGGGAAGAAGGCCUUCGGGUUGUAAACCGCUUUUGGCAGGAACGAAACGGUGUCCGCUAAUACCGGGCGCUAAUGACGGUACCUGCAGAAUAAGCACCGGCUAACUACGUG